Molecule: long non-coding RNA, 775 nt
Filed under: Homo sapiens (human)
Lineage: Eukaryota; Metazoa; Chordata; Mammalia; Primates; Hominidae
Description: HSALNT0343272
Source: RNAcentral
AAAAAAAUCAUCAGGCUGCUUCUUCAGUUUUGCUAUCCUCUUAGGAUUAAAAUUUAUUUAUUUAUGAUUUUUUUUUUCUUUCAGGGACCACUUAAUAGUGAGUCUUCCAACCAGAGCUUGUGUAGCGUCAGAUCCUUGAGUGAUAAAGGAGUAGAGUGACGAGUAGCACAGCCCCUCUAUGGUUUAGAUGGCAGUGCUGCAAAGGAGGCAACAGAGGAGCAGUCUGCUCUGCCAAUCCUCACGUCAGUGAUGCUAGCAAAACCUCGGCUUGACACAGAGCAGCUGGCGUAAAGGAGAGCUGGCCUCUGCUUCACUUUUGUUUCAGCUCAGCAAAACAGUCCCUCAUCUACGGGAUCUGGCAACACAGAGCAUUCCUGCAGCUCCCAAAAACAGAUCUCCAUCCAGCACAGACAGACCCAGGCCAACUGUGAUUUGAGACGGCAGAUUGAUGAACAGCAAAAGAUGCUAGAGAAAUACAAGGAACAAUUAAAUAGAUGUGUGACAAUGAGCAAGAAACUCCUUAUAGAAAAGAUGAUGAUUAUUCCCCACCUUCUAAGAGACAAAGACCAACGAGCCACCACAGCCACCGGUCCCAGAACCCGCCAAUGCUGGGGAACGGAAAAUGAGGGAGUUCAACUCUGGCCCUCACAAUCCAGUGGAGGAGACGAAACUCAGCUGCCUCUGUCCCUCUGGGCACGCCUCAUGCCAGGUGCAUCUGUGGACAGGGGCCAUGCUCCUGGGCUUCCAAAGUUGGAGAAAGCUGCCAGGCUCAGGU